CAGCCGCCGCGGUAAUACGUAGGGUGCGAGCGUUAAUCGGAAUUACUGGGCGUAAAGCGUGCGCAGGCGGUUAUAUAAGACAGAUGUGAAAUCCCCGGGCUCAACCUGGGACCUGCAUUUGUGACUGUAUAGCUAGAGUACGGUAGAGGGGGAUGGAAUUCCGCGUGUAGCAGUGAAAUGCGUAGAUAUGCGGAGGAACACCGAUGGCGAAGGCAAUCCCCUGGACCUGUACUGACGCUCAUGCACGAAAGCGCGGGGAGCAAACAGGAUUAGAUACCCGGGUAGUCCCUGUCUCUUAUAC
RNAcentral lists this ribosomal RNA (301 nucleotides) under uncultured bacterium. Its description in RNAcentral is "partial 16S ribosomal RNA". It matches the Rfam family "Bacterial small subunit ribosomal RNA", at positions 509 to 807 of the family's 1533-position model. The record is from RNAcentral.